Nyctereutes procyonoides (raccoon dog) is the source of this 3467-nucleotide long non-coding RNA. RefSeq lists it as uncharacterized. Lineage: Eukaryota; Metazoa; Chordata; Mammalia; Carnivora; Canidae. The transcript is spliced from 3 exons. The record is from RefSeq and is a predicted model, not a curated record.
UGCGGAGCCUCGGGGCUGUAACCAAAACAAAGGAGCUCGGCUCCUGCCAGGCGACUCCGGGCCACGGAAGCCCGCACACGCUGGGGAGCGACCGAACCGACCCCAGGUCCUGGUCCCAGAACCAGGGGUGGGGAACUGGGGCUCCCGGUCCCCCGAGCUCUUAUCACGGCCACCGAACACUUCCAAAAAAGGGGUUAACGUCGGUCUCGGGAGCUAGGUUUGAAAGACGAUUUCCUGAAGGUGACGGGGAGCCGAGAGGAGAAGGGAAAGGCGUAAAGCCAAAGAGGGAGCUCCGGCAAUUUCCCCUCGGGGACCCAGAAUUCAAAGUAAACACCCAGGAAAGGUCACCGCAGCCCGAAACCCACCACCCGGGCAGCCUCAGAAGCGCGGGCGCCAAGCGCCCGGCCGCGCAAAGGGCCCUGGGAAUGUAGUCCCCAGCCCGGCCCUCGCCGCAAAGCCGCCGAGCGAGGCAGCAGCCGGGAACUACAACUCCCAGAGGGGAGCGCGGCCCCGCGACGCCCACAGCCCCGCAUCAAAGGAGCUGGUACAGAGCUGCAUCCCUAAACCCAGGUUUCUUCUCUCCGCCAGGUAAUACAUCAGCUAAUAUCUGAGAAAAUAAGGUGGAAGUACAAAUAAAUUUCAAGAAUAAAGCCACUCUGAGAUAUUUUUCAGGUAGAGCCACUUUCAAGUUGUGGAACCAAUGCAGUUGCACAGGCCUGAUGCCCAGAACACUUAGGGUUUAAUGCUCUGCACUUGCUGUCUUGGAAAGCGAUCAUCGUUUUGUGUUCUGUAAGUGAAGUACAAUGUGGACAAUAGGGCAUAUGCCUGGGCCUUGGAGCUUCAGCUCACAGGCAGGUCCCCUUCCGGCUGCCACACUUUCUAGUGAGUGUUCAGAGAGUGGCUGGUUCUGCAGUUUGCUAACACUAGCUCCUGCACUACACUCACCGAAGCUAGGGGCACUGCCAUGCACCCCGCAAGCAGCUGGAUGCCCACCCCAUCCAGGACCCAUGUACAUAACACAUCCCACAGGAUUGCCUAUUCCAUAUGGGUUAGGCCAGGAGUACAGUGUAAGAAGAAGGCCACAGCCUUCUCCCACCCUCUGUGGGGUGUAACAUAUUGGUCUAGAACCUCAUAGUAGGAGCAACCCAAAAGCUGGCCGGGCCCCGUGUGUUCCAAUACAUGCAUCAAGUGACAGGGCGGGUCCCUGGGCACCUGAGGGGCUGCAAGGCCCUAGCAAAUGUCCUUGCCUGAGGGAGAUGACGUUAAAUAGCGAAUGAAAAAACACCAUGAGAGGUCAAGAGAUAGAUUACUGAAGAAAUGAAAUAGCUUAGUUAUUUUAUACCUUUAUCCUGAUAUUUGAAAAAGGGGACCCCUCUUUCAUUUUACACUGGAAAUUAUUUGUGCAGGUAGUCCUAUCCAUAGGCUCUAAUCUCCUUUCAAUUCACAGAUGCCAACUGCAUCCAUGUGGAAUUGUUUCACAUGUUCCUGUCCCCUGUAUAUCAUAUAAUCAGUAGAUAUGAAUACUUGAUUAGAUUUAGAUUUUAAAGAAUACUCGUAACUUAUUUUAAUGAUGCUUCAUAAUUUUAUUUUUUAAAGUAAUCUCUACACCCAAUGUGGUGCUUGAACUCAUGACCCCAAGAUCCAGAGUCACAUGCUCGCUCUAUCAACUGAGCAGCCAGGCAUUCCUUAAUGCUUCAUAAUUUUAAAGAAAGCUUCAUAUUUUUUUAAAGAUUUUUAUUAUUUGAGAGAGACACAUCAUGUGAGAGAGAGCAAGGGAAGCUGCAGAGGGAGAAGCAGGCUCCCUGCUGAGCAGGGACCCUGACAUGGGGCUCGAUCCCAAGACCCUGGUCAGGAUUAUGACCUGAGCUGAAGGCAGUUAACUGACUGAGCCACCUGGGUGCCCCAACUUCAUACUUUUUAAUGCCGUAUAGUUUUGUUGUUGUUUUUUAAGAUUUUAUUUAUAUGACAGAGAGUGUGCAUGCACAGUAGCACAAGCAGGGGGAGAUUCAGGCAGAGGGAGAGGCUGGGUCCCCACUGAGCAGAGAGCCUGAUGUGGUGCUCAAUCCCAGGACCCUGGGAUCAUGACCUGAGCCCCAGUUAGCUGCCUAACUGACUGAGCCACCCAGGUGCUCCAAUGCUAUAUAGUUUUUAAACCAGUUACUUUCUAGUUAUUAGGCAUUCCUUUCAAAGCCUUCCCUGAAGUCAAUGCCUGAGAGUCUUGGGACUGACCAGCCUUCCAGGAACUAUGGUAGUAGGUUCUAAAAAAGGUAUGUCCCUCCCACACCUGUAAAGAGAACUCUAUGGGAAGAAACAUUAAAAAUGGAAUGUAAAGUCAUUCCAAAGGCAUUCAUGUUUAUGUUCCUGUCGUCUUACUAGAACUUUAUGUGGCUUUUAGCAUUGUCAAGUCUCUUCCAUAGGCUUCUCUGAAGUGACUAUCAUGGAUCUCUAUUUCCUUUGACCUCAUCUGCCCAGGCUUCUUCAGAUAAUUCUCUCUCCAGUCCCUUAUCCCUUAAAUAUUGGUAUUCCUGGAUUCUUUUGCACGAACUCAUUCUAGUUGCUCUUUCUAGAGUUGGUAGACACAGAGAUGCAAUAUCCAUAUCCCUCUUCAAGCAAAGGCUUGCUGCCGAACAGUGAACAUUGAUCAUUGUCACUGGCAUCCUCAACUCGCAGUAGGGUCUGGCUUAGCUACUGAGAACCACUUUACUUGGCUCAUGAUCUCUCUGGGGGCAACACACAUCCAGGGACAAGGUGGGGGUAUAAACAGGGUUGAUUAUUUGGCCCAACAUGGAAUGCUCUGACAGGCAAUAACUGUUCAAGAGCUCCUGCUGGGAUUGACUGAGGUUUAGUUAGACCAGUAAUUUAUUUAAACUGCUGCUUCAUAUUGCUUUCUCCCCUCUCCUUUCACAGGACUUGAUCCCUAAUGAACAUCUUGCAUGCUAAACGCAGUCUCAGGAAGCGCUUCCAUAGAAGCCAGCCUGUAACACUAGGUGAUGUUAUCACACAUAUUCUAUCACCUAUAUGUCCAUUACUCUUAAAAUAUAUCCUUUUCCGAAUACUCUUUUGAACUUGUUUAACGUCCUAAAACACAGCUCCACCUUAACAUGCUAUAGGCACCUUGAGCUCCAACUUUGCAAAAUUGACCCUUUGCCUCACAAACAUGCUUUCUCCUAUCUGACCUUUGGAUAAAUGAUAUAAUUAUUCACUAAGUUCCCAUCUUCACAAUUUCCUAGGGGAUCCCUGGGUGACUCAGCAGUUUGGCGCCUGCCUUUGGUCCAGGGUGCGAUCCUGGAGUCCCAGGAUCGAGUCCCACGUCGGGCUCCUGGCAUGGAGCCUGCUUCUCCCUCUGCCUGUGUCUCUGCCUCUUUCUAUGUCUGUCAUAAAUAAAUAAAUAAAUCUUUAAAAAAAUUUUCCUUACCUUCUCUAUUAAUUAUCUGUUGCUAUGUCGACAAAGUAUUCCUGAACAUAGU